UGCAAGUCGAACGAUGAAGCCCAGCUUGCUGGGUGGAUUAGUGGCGAACGGGUGAGUAACACGUGAGUAACCUGCCCUUGACUCUGGGAUAAGCCUGGGAAACUGGGUCUAAUACUGGAUAUGACUUCUCACCGCAUGGUGGGGGGUGGAAAGAUUUAUUGGUCUUGGAUGGACUCGCGGCCUAUCAGCUUGUUGGUGAGGUAAUGGCUCACCAAGGCGACGACGGGUAGCCGGCCUGAGAGGGUGACCGGCCACACUGGGACUGAGACACGGCCCAGACUCCUACGGGAGGCAGCAGUGGGGAAUAUUGCACAAUGGGCGCAAGCCUGAUGCAGCGACGCCGCGUGAGGGAUGACGGCCUUCGGGUUGUAAACCUCUUUCAGUAGGGAAGAAGCGAAAGUGACGGUACCUGCAGAAGAAGCGCCGGCUAACUACGUGCCAGCAGCCGCGGUAAUACGUAGGGCGCGAGCGUUAUCCGGAAUUAUUGGGCGUAAAGAGCUCGUAGGCGGUUUGUCGCGUCUGCCGUGAAAGUCCGGGGCUUAACCCCGGAUCUGCGGUGGGUACGGGCAGACUAGAGUGCAGUAGGGGAGACUGGAAUUCCUGGUGUAGCGGUGAAAUGCGCAGAUAUCAGGAGGAACACCGAUGGCGAAGGCAGGUCUCUGGGCUGUAACUGACGCUGAGGAGCGAAAGCAUGGGGAGCGAACAGGAUUAGAUACCCUGGUAGUCCAUGCCGUAAACGUUGGGCACUAGGUGUGGGGGACAUUCCACGUUUUCCGCGCCGUAGCUAACGCAUUAAGUGCCCCGCCUGGGGAGUACGGCCGCAAGGCUAAAACUCAAAGGAAUUGACGGGGGCCCGCACAAGCGGCGGAGCAUGCGGAUUAAUUCGAUGCAACGCGAAGAACCUUACCAAGGCUUGACAUGUUCCUGAC
This 929-nucleotide ribosomal RNA is filed under the name Micrococcus sp. Its description in RNAcentral is "bacterial SSU rRNA". It matches the Rfam family "Bacterial small subunit ribosomal RNA", at positions 56 to 996 of the family's 1533-position model. The record is from RNAcentral. Lineage: Bacteria; Bacillati; Actinomycetota; Actinomycetes; Micrococcales; Micrococcaceae.